AGCAGUCGCCGCGGUAAAACCAGCAGCCCAAGUGGUGGUCGCGCUUAUUGGGCCUAAAGCGCUCGUAGCCUGGCCGGUAAGUUCCCCGUGAAAUCGGGUCGCCCAACGAUUCGGCUCGCGGGGAAUACUGUCGGUCUUGGGGCCGGGAGACGCCGAGGGUACUCCGGGGGUAGCGGUGAAAUGCUGUAAUCCUCGGGGGACUACCAGUGGCGAAGGCGCUCGGCGAUAACGGGCCUGACGGUGAGGGGCGAAAGCUGGGGGCGCGAACGGGAUUAGAUACCCCCGUAGUCCCUGUCUCUUAUA
Molecule: ribosomal RNA, 303 nt
Filed under: uncultured bacterium
Lineage: Bacteria
Description: partial 16S ribosomal RNA
Rfam family: Archaeal small subunit ribosomal RNA
Source: RNAcentral